This 72-nucleotide transfer RNA is filed under the name Microbotryum saponariae. It matches the Rfam family "tRNA". From Rfam's summary of the family: Transfer RNA (tRNA) molecules are approximately 80 nucleotides in length. Their secondary structure includes four short double-helical elements and three loops (D, anti-codon, and T loops). Further hydrogen bonds mediate the characteristic L-shaped molecular structure. tRNAs have two regions of fundamental functional importance: the anti-codon, which is responsible for specific mRNA codon recognition, and the 3' end, to which the tRNAs corresponding amino acid is attached (by aminoacyl-tRNA synthetases). tRNAs cope with the degeneracy of the genetic code in two manners: having more than one tRNA (with a specific anti-codon) for a particular amino acid; and 'wobble' base-pairing, i.e. permitting non-standard base-pairing at the 3rd anti-codon position. RNAcentral also lists the same sequence under 2 other names. The record is from Rfam by way of RNAcentral. Lineage: Eukaryota; Fungi; Basidiomycota; Microbotryomycetes; Microbotryales; Microbotryaceae.
GUGGCGGGGGCGGGACGGUACCGCGGGCGCCUGCAGAGCGUCAGAUCAUGGGUUCGACUCCCAUUCGCCACU